RNAcentral lists this long non-coding RNA (216 nucleotides) under Daucus carota (carrot). Its description in RNAcentral is "long non-coding RNA (DCAR_LNC000199)". Lineage: Eukaryota; Viridiplantae; Streptophyta; Magnoliopsida; Apiales; Apiaceae. The record is from RNAcentral.
GAGUUCAUUCAGAUUUGAGCUGCGUCUGAUCUUGUUACGAAUCACCCAGAUUUCAGUUAGAGAUAGAAACUUGAAUAAAUCAAUUGAAACUCUGAAUGUUCCAUUUCUCUGAGUAGAAAUAAUGAUCUCCCAUUCAUUGAGAAGAUUCUUGACACCAAUAGUUAUAUAUUCUAACUCGAGAGCAAGAGCACGCAUAAACAUAUCCUCAUUAGGGUU